RNAcentral lists this long non-coding RNA (1176 nucleotides) under Oncorhynchus mykiss (rainbow trout). Its description in RNAcentral is "lncRNA (ENSOMYG00000064937.1)". Lineage: Eukaryota; Metazoa; Chordata; Actinopteri; Salmoniformes; Salmonidae. The record is from RNAcentral.
AUGAAUCAAUACAAGCAAACAAGAUCGGUUCCGGGGAUUGGUAUGGCAAAUACCUUACGAUUUGCCUGGACUGAAAAGGAGAUGGAGCCGUGGAGUAGAGAGACAUUUGGAAGGACCAUUUUGAUGGGAUGCCUCAGGAUAGAGGUGAAGGAAGUGCUCUGCCUUCAAGGGAACCCGAAUGAGAAGGCUUUCGAUGUGACGUUUCACAAAGAAGAAAAACAUGACGAAGUAAUGAAGAUGGCAAAGGAAGCGGAAAAAACGGGACCCCUGUGCCAUUAUGCGGUGACCAGCCUGGCGAAGAACAACUUCAGGGUGGUCACCGUAACCAUGUACAAUCCGCAUGUGAAAGAUGAAGAGGUGAGGGCCUUUCUGGGGAGGUACAUGGACAAUGUCUCCUCAGCGAGGUGCCUCAGGGACUCCCUGGGUUUCUGGAAUGGGAGGAGAGGGUUCCAGGCGUUACUCAGGGAGUCCCCGAAGAGUGUGGAUGGCUACCUCCAUCCUCCGGCGAUGUUCUCCCUGGGGCUGACAGGGGAACACUCUACUAUGCACGUCAGCCCCCGUUCUGCAGGCGUUGUAUGGCCUACGGCCAUAUCCUGGCCUCGUGCAGUGCCAAGAGGUGUCGAUUUUGUGGGUCGGAAGAGCACGAGGCCAAGGAAUGUGACGAGCCCAAGGCUUGCCACGGGUGUGGCUCAAGAGCACACCUGUGGCGUGAUUGCCCGGCUCGUCACAGGUCAUACGCGUCUGCAGCUGGGGGGGGAGCGGGGGAUGGGGGGAGGAAAGAGAGGACGCAUGCGGAUUGUACGGAUGGCACAGUGGAAAGGACGGAGAAGGAUGAAGAAGGGAAGAAGGAAGAGGCGGAGAGAAGAUGGAAAGAAGGAAAAAGGAGAGAUUAAAAAGGUGGAAGAACGUGGAGGAGCAGAGAAGAGGGAGAAGGGGACAGUGGUACGAGAAGGAGUGGAAGAGGGAAGGGGGACAGAGGGAAGGGGGACAGUGACGGAGAAGGAGGGAGUGGAGGUGGGAGGGGAUGGGGGGAAGGAGUGGGGGGACAGCCUGCCAGGCUUCCUCGAGGUCGAAAUGAGGGAUUUGGUGGAGGAGUUAGCGGGGAUGGGACGUUGUGUCUCCCCGCUACCUCCUUCACCAAAGAAGAAGGGGAUAAAGAGGGGGAGCUUGGCAGGA